AUGGUGUACGAGACGGCUUGAUUAGGGUUUCUUAUAAAAUCUGUUUGUUUACACGGCUAGGGUUUUUGCUCGGAUGAUUAGAGUUUCAUGCUGAUAACGUGUUGUAAAUAAAGAGAGAAAAAGAGAAUUAGUUGUUCUUAUUCAUAACAUAAUGUGUCAUUUAUAUAUAGAGAAUUACAAGAGGUAUAGACCGUCAUAGAUAAAUGAAA
RNAcentral lists this long non-coding RNA (209 nucleotides) under Brassica napus (rape). RNAcentral's name for it is "long non-coding RNA (BNAP_LNC015651)". The record is from RNAcentral. Lineage: Eukaryota; Viridiplantae; Streptophyta; Magnoliopsida; Brassicales; Brassicaceae.